UUGGCUCAGAAGCAGCCACCAUUUAAAGAGUGCGUAAUAGCUCACUGGUCGAGAGACGCUGCGCCGAAAAUGUCCGGGGCUCAAGCACGGAACCGAAGCUAUGGCAUGAUAGCAAUAUCAUGGGUAGGGGAGCGUUCUUAUAAGGAAGAAGCAUGACCGGAAGGACAUGUGGACGAAUAAGAAGUGAGAAUGCCGGUAUGAGUAUCGAAAAGAAAGGUGAGAAUCCUUUCCACCGAAAGCCCGAGGGUUCCUGAGCAACGAUCGUCGACUCAGGGUAAGUCGGGACCUAAGCCGAGGCGAGAAGCGUAGGCGAUGGACAACAGGUUGAAAUUCCUGUACCGGAUCAAGUCGAUCGAGCGAAGGAGCGACGCAGGAGGGCACAUGAUCGCGCGGCUGGAAGAGCGCGUCCAAGUGCGUAUGUUGCAGCAGAGGAAAACCCCUGCAGCUAAAAGCAGAGACAUGAAGGGGAGUUAAAGGAAACUUUGACGAACUCAUGGAUCCCACACUGCCAAGAAAAACUUCUAGCGAGACAAGAUCCGCCCGUACCGUAAACCGACACAGGUAGGCGGGGAGAGAAUCCUAAGGUGCGCGGGAAAACCCUCGUUAAGGAACUCGGCAAAUUGCAUCCGUAACCUAGGGAGAAGGAUGGCCCCCGGUCAGUGAAGAGCAGAAACGCUCAGAGCUAAAAGGGGCGGCAGAAAAGAGGCCCAAGCAACUGUUUACCAAAAACACAGGUGCCUGCGAAAGCGAAAGCUGAAGUAUAGGUGCUGACGCCUGCCCGGUGCCGGAAGGUUAAGGAGAGGUGUGAGCGAAAGCGAAGCAUCGAACUGAAGCCCCGGUGAACGGCGGCCGUAACUAUAACGGUCCUAAGGUAGCGAAAUUCCUUGUCGGGUAAGUUCCGACCCGCAUGAAAGGCGUAAUGAUUUGGGCACUGUCUCAACGAGGGGCCCGGUGAAAUUGAAAUACCUGUGAAGAUGCAGGUUACCCGCGACUGGACAGAAAGACCCCAUGGAGCUUUACUGCAGCUUGAGAUGGAAUCUCGGAAGCAGAUGCACAGGAUAGGUGGGAGGCGCCGAAGCAUUGCCCUAGGGCGGUGCGGAGCCGAUGUUGGGAUACCACCCUUCUGUUGCUGAGAUUCUAACGCGAGGAGUAACGACCCUGCGGACCCUCUCAGGCAGGCGGUUUGACUGGGGCGGUCGCCUCCGAAAGAGUAACGGAGGCGCCCAAAGGUUCCCUCAGGCCGGACAGAAACCGGCCGAAGAGUGCAAAGGCAGAAGGGAGCUUGACUGCGAGACCAACAAGUCGAGCAGGGACGAAAGUCGGGCUUAGUGAUCCGGUGGUACUGGGUGGAAAGGCCAUCGCUCAACGGAUAAAAGCUACCCUGGGGAUAACAGGCUAAUCUCUCCCAAGAGUCCAUAUCGACGGGGAGGUUUGGCACCUCGAUGUCGGCUCAUCACAUCCUGGGGCUGGAGUAGGUCCCAAGGGUUGGGCUGUUCGCCCAUUAAAGUGGUACGCGAGCUGGGUUCAAAACGUCGUGAGACAGUUUGGUUCAUAUCCAUCGCGGGCGCAAGAAGUUUGAGAGGAGCUGCUCCUAGUACGAGAGGACCGGAGUGGACGGAUCAACGGUGUCCCAGUUGUCACGCCAGUGGCACGGCUGGAAAGCCGCAUCCGGGAAGGAUAAACGCUGAAAGCAUCUAAGCGUGAAGCCAACCUCAAGAUGAGACUUCU
Molecule: ribosomal RNA, 1728 nt
Filed under: human oral metagenome
Description: bacterial LSU rRNA
Rfam family: Bacterial large subunit ribosomal RNA
Source: RNAcentral